RNAcentral lists this ribosomal RNA (723 nucleotides) under Ficus carica (common fig). RNAcentral's name for it is "eukaryotic LSU rRNA". The stretch from base 283 to 438 matches the Rfam family "5.8S ribosomal RNA". Lineage: Eukaryota; Viridiplantae; Streptophyta; Magnoliopsida; Rosales; Moraceae. The record is from RNAcentral.
UAAAGGUUUCCCGUAGGUGAACCUGCGGAAGGGCGGGGGAUGGUUACCGUCCAGUGGAGAGACCGCGCACAGUUACAACACUCGAGGGGGGCGAGGGGCGCGAACAAAACAAAAACCUCCUCGCCGGGUGCUUGUGGCCCCGCCCCUCGCCCCCGGCACCAAACGAACCCCGGCGCGGAAUGCGUCAAGGAAAGACAACGAGACGAUCCCCGCCAUCGAGGCCCCGGGAACGGUGACUCUGCCUCGGUGGUCGCUUCGGGAUCGGUUUUUAGUAUGAAGAACGACUCUCGGCAACGGAUAUCUCGGCUCUCGCAUCGAUGAAGAACGUAGCGAAAUGCGAUACUUGGUGUGAAUUGCAGAAUCCCGUGAACCAUCGAGUCUUUGAACGCAAGUUGCGCCCGAAGCCAUCAGGUCGAGGGCACGUCUGCCUGGGCGUCACACGUCGUUGCCCCCCCGAACCCCCGUCCCGCUCCUAGCCGGGCGAGUGGGGACUGUGUGGGGGGGGCGGAUGAUGACCUCCCGUGCGUGCUUUGACCCGCGGUUGGUCCAAAAACCGAGUCCCCUGUCACGUCGUCUUGGCAACAGGUAGUCGAUCAUUCGGUGCCGCCGCCUUUUGCUCGGACACGCAUCGGACUCCGACAGACCCCAAUGCCCGCGGCACGGUCCGCCUAAGGGGCCUAAAGUAUAUGGCGGGGCUACCCGCUGAGUUUUAAGCAUAAGGAG